Molecule: ribosomal RNA, 3232 nt
Filed under: Drosophila persimilis
Lineage: Eukaryota; Metazoa; Arthropoda; Insecta; Diptera; Drosophilidae
Description: eukaryotic LSU rRNA
Rfam family: Eukaryotic large subunit ribosomal RNA (bases 1-2653)
Source: RNAcentral
UUAAGCAUAUUAAUUAGGGAAGGAAAAGAAACUAACCAGGAUUUUCUUAGUAGCGGCGAGCGAAAAGAAAUCAGUUCAGCACUAAGUCACUUUGUCUAUAUGGCAAACGUGAGAUGCAGUGUAUGGAGCGUCAAUAUUCUAGUAUGAGAAAUUAACGAUUUAAGUCCUUCUUAAAUGAGGCCAUUUACCCAUAGAGGGUGCCAGGCCCGUAUAACGUUAAUGAUUACUAGAUGAUGUUCCAAAGAGUCGUGUUGCUUGAUAGUGCAGCACUAAGUGGGUGGUAAACUCCAUCUAAAACUAAAUAUAACCAUGAGACCGAUAGUAAACAAGUACCGUGAGGGAAAGUUGAAAAGAACUCUGAAUAGAGAGUUAAACAGUACGUGAAACUGCUUAGAGGUUAAGCCCGAUGAACCUGAAUAUCCGUUAUGGAAAAUUCAUCAUUAAAGUUGUAAUAUUUUAAGAAUAUUAUAAUAAUAGUGUGCAUUUUUUCCAUAUAAGGACAUUGUAAUCUAUUAGCAUAUAACAAAUUUAUCAUAAAAUAUGACUUAUAGUUUAUUCAAAUUAUUAUGCUUGCAUUUUAACAUAGAAUAAAUGUCAUUAAUUUGAUAAAGUGUUGAUAAAUUAAAAUUAAUACAGUGCGUUAAUUUUUCGAAAUUAUAUAAUGGCAUAAUUAUCAUUGAUUUUUGUGUUUAUUAUAUGCAUUUGUAUGAUUAACAAUGAGAAAAAUUCAGGAUACCUUCGGGACCCGUCUUGAAACACGGACCAAGGAGUCCAACAUAUGUGCAAGUUAUUGGGAGAUAAACCUAAUAGCGUAAUUAACUUGACUAAUAAUGGGAUUAGUUUUUUAACUAUUUAUAGAUAAUUAACACAAUCCCGGGGCGUUCUAUAUAGUUAUGUAUAAUAAUAUUUAUAUUAUUUAUGCCUCUAACUGGAACGUACCUUGAGCAUAUAUGCUGUGACCCGAAAGAUGGUGAACUAUACUUGAUCAGGUUGAAGUCAGGGGAAACCCUGAUGGAAGACCGAAACAGUUCUGACGUGCAAAUCGAUUGUCAGAAUUGAGUAUAGGGGCGAAAGACCAAUCGAACCAUCUAGUAGCUGGUUCCUUCCGAAGUUUCCCUCAGGAUAGCUGGUGCAUUUUAAUGUUAUAUAAAAUAAUCUUAUCUGGUAAAGCGAAUGAUUAGAGGCCUUAGGGUCGAAACGAUCUUAACCUAUUCUCAAUUUUAAAUGGGUAAGAACCGUAUCUUUCUUGAUAUGAAGUUUAAGGUUAUGAUAUAAUGUGCCCAGUGGGCCACCUUUGGUAAGCAGAACUGGCGCUGUGGGAUGAACCAAACGUAAUGUUACGGUGCCCAAAUUAACAACUCAUGCAGAAACCAUGAAAGGCGUUGGUUGCUUAAAACAGCAGGACGGUGAUCAUGGAAGUCGAAAUCCGCUAAGGAGUGUGUAACAACUCACCUGCCGAAGCAACUAGCCUUAAAAUGGAUGGCGCUUAAGUUGUAUACCUAUUCAUUACCGCUAAAGUAGAUGAUUUAUAUUACUUGUGAUAUAAAUUUUGAAACUUUAGUGAGUAGGAAGGUACAAUGGUAUGCGUAGAAGUGUUUGGCGUAAGCCUUCAUGGAGCUGCCAUUGGCACAGAUCUUGGUGGUAGUAGCAAAUAAUCGAAUGAGACCUUGGAGGACUGAAGUGGAGAAGGGUUUCGUGUGAACAGUGGUUGAUCACGAGUUAGUCGGUCCUAAGUUCAAGGCGAAAGCCGAAAAUUUUCAAGUAAAAAUCAGUGAGUAAUAUUGUCAAAUCUUUUAUGAUUUUUAAAUACUUGAAUAAUUUUGAACGAAAGGGAAUACGGUUCCAAUUCCGUAACCUGUUGAGUAUCCGUUUGUUAUUAAAUAUGGGCCUCGUGCUCAUCCUGGCAACAGGAACGACCAUAAAGAAGCCGUCGAGAGGUAUCGGAAGAGUUUUCUUUUCUGUUUUAUAGCCGUACUACCAUGGAAGUCUUUCGCAAAGAGAUAUGGUAGAUGGGCUAGAAGAGCAUGACAUAUACUGUUGUGUCGAUAUUUUCUCCUCGGACCUUGAAAAUUUAUGGUGGGGACACGCAAACUUCUCAACAGGCCGUACCAAUAUCCGCAGCUGGUCUCCAAGGUGAAGAGUCUCUAGUCGAUAGAAUAAUGUAGGUAAGGGAAGUCGGCAAAUUAGAUCCGUAACUUCGGGAUAAGGAUUGGCUCUGAAGAUUGAGAUAGUCGGGCUUGAUUGGGAAACAAUAACAUGGUUUAUGUGCUCGUUCUGGGUAAAUAGAGUUUCUAUCAUUUAUGGUAGUUACUUGUUCCCCGGAUAGUUUAGUUACGUAGCUAAUUGUGGAACUUUCUUGCUAAAAUUUUUAAGAAUACUAAUUGGGUUAAACCAGUUAGUUCUUAUUAAUUAUAACGAUUAUCAAUUAACAAUCAAUUCAGAACUGGCACGGACUUGGGGAGGAUGCUUGGAAACACGUCGUGAGUACUGUUUCGGCCAGCUGGUCGAAAUACGUGCUCGGAGUCUUCGUGGAUUUUAAGGGAGCCUUCGACAACGUUGAGUGGAAUGCUGCACUACGCCGCCUCCUUGAGCUGGGAUGAAGAGAAGCAAGCUUGUGGCGAAGUUUCUUCUCCGGCCGGAGUGCGAGCAUCGUCAGUAGACAUGGAGUAGCCACUGUUCCGGUGACAAGAGGUUGCCCGUAGGGGUCCAUAAGUGGUCCAUUUAUAUGGAACAUCUUAAUGGACGUGUUGCUCCAGCGCUUAGAGCCCCUUGGUGCGCUCAGCGCGUAUGCUGACGACUUGCUCCUCCUCAUCGAAGGGAAUGCCCGAUCAGAGCUCGAACAAAAAGGAGGUGAGUUAAUGUCCAUCGUAGGCGCUUGGGGAGUUGAAGUCGGCGUUGCCGUUUCAACUAGCAAGACGGCGAUCAUGCUGCUCAAAGGCAUACUUAGACGGCCGCCAGUGGUACGGUUUGCUGAAGCAAGCCUGCCAUAUAAGCGCAAGUAUCGGUACCUAGGCAUCACGGUCGGCGAGCGGUUGAGUUUUCUCCCGCAGGGGCAUUGUCGCGCGUACUGCGGGUCGACUGGGGACUCAGUCCCCGCGCAAAGCAGACAAUAUAUGCCGGACUCAUGGUGCCCUGUGCACUAUUUGGUGCCUCGGUUUGGUCUGUCGUGACGACGACGCAAGUGGUUGCCAGGAGGCAUCUGCUUGCGUGCCAAAGGAUCGUCCUGAUUGGA